This 345-nucleotide ribosomal RNA is filed under the name Streptococcus agalactiae. RNAcentral's name for it is "bacterial LSU rRNA". It matches the Rfam family "Bacterial large subunit ribosomal RNA", at positions 1067 to 1414 of the family's 2925-position model. Lineage: Bacteria; Bacillati; Bacillota; Bacilli; Lactobacillales; Streptococcaceae. The record is from RNAcentral.
AAAAGGAUGUGGGGUUGCACAGACAACUAGGAUGUUAGCUUAGAAGCAGCUAUUCAUUCAAAGAGUGCGUAAUAGCUCACUAGUCGAGUGACCCUGCGCCGAAAAUGUACCGGGGCUAAAACAUAUUACCGAAGCUGUGGAUGACACAAAAGUGUCAUGGUAGGAGAGCGUUUUAUGUGUGAAGAAGGUGUACCGUGAGGAGCGCUGGAACGCAUAGAAGUGAGAAUGCCGGUAUGAGUAGCGCAAGACAGGUGAGAAUCCUGUCCACCGUAAGACUAAGGUUUCCAGGGGAAGGCUCGUCCGCCCUGGGUUAGUCGGGACCUAAGGAGAGACCGAAAGGUGUAU